CUAGGUGUUUUACGCAUAGUAUUGAAGAGGAAGGAGAUGAUUAUUUGCUAGUUGUUUAUUAAUGAGAAAACAUUAACUUGAGGAAUGUAGUCAAGCCAUCAACUCUCAUUGAGUUGAGUUUUACUUCAGGUCUUCUAAGUACAGCAUCAUUAGACAAAAUAGUAAGAAGAUCGAGCAAAAUAUAUACAUCAUCGUCUUAUACUAUGGU
Molecule: long non-coding RNA, 208 nt
Filed under: Spirodela polyrhiza (greater duckweed)
Lineage: Eukaryota; Viridiplantae; Streptophyta; Magnoliopsida; Alismatales; Araceae
Description: long non-coding RNA (SPOL_LNC001574)
Source: RNAcentral